GAUAGAGGUCGCGGAGAUUAAAAGUAACGGUCAAAUACGCGCAGGGAGGGCGCGGCCGUGAAAGGAUGAUCCGCCGAAGCUCGCCGGUAUCCCAAAGCCGGUUUGCUGGGACGGCGCAAUAAGAUGUGCCGGACUGUCACGUAAGUGGAGCGCUAUCAU
RNAcentral lists this non-coding RNA (159 nucleotides) under bovine gut metagenome. RNAcentral's name for it is "Lysine riboswitch". It matches the Rfam family "Lysine riboswitch aptamer". From Rfam's summary of the family: Riboswitches are metabolite binding domains within certain messenger RNAs that serve as precision sensors for their corresponding targets. Allosteric rearrangement of mRNA structure is mediated by ligand binding, and this results in modulation of gene expression. The record is from RNAcentral.